This 775-nucleotide ribosomal RNA is filed under the name uncultured Neocallimastigales. RNAcentral's name for it is "partial large subunit ribosomal RNA". It matches the Rfam family "Eukaryotic large subunit ribosomal RNA", at positions 26 to 639 of the family's 3401-position model. The record is from RNAcentral. Lineage: Eukaryota; Fungi; Neocallimastigomycota; Neocallimastigomycetes; Neocallimastigales.
CGUCUAUAUACGUAUAGCAUAUCAAUAAGCGGAGGAAAAGAAACUAACAAGGAUUCCCAUAGUAACGGCGAGUGAAGCGGGAAGAGCUCAAAUUUGAAAUCUUCAAGGUUUUACCUUGACGAAUUGUAGUUUAAAGAAGUGUUUUCUGUUGGAGUUUUGGUAAAAGUUCUUUGGAAUAGGACAUCAUAGAGGGUGAGAAUCCCGUAUUUGACCAUUAUUUCCAGCUGUGUGAUACACUUUCAAAGAGUCGGAUUGUUUGGGAAUGCAGUCCAAAAUGGGUGGUAAAUUUCAUCUAAAGCUAAAUACUGGCGAGAGACCGAUAGCGAACAAGUACCGUGAGGGAAAGAUGAAAAGAACUUUGAAAAGAGAGUUAAACAGUACGUGAAAUUGUCAAAAGGGAAGCGUUUGACACCAGUGUUGUUUUCUCGAAAAUCAAUUAAAAAUGAUGGGAUUUUGUGUUGUAUUGACUUUAUCAGCUUUCUGCACUUUUUUUCCUAUCUUUUUUAAUGCACUUUUCGUUUAACAAGUCAACAUCAAUUUCUUUUGUUGUAAAAGAGUCAUUGGAAGGUGGCUUUCUUUUCGGAGAAAGUGUUUAUAGCCUUUGGCUUCUGCAAUCGGAGAGAUUGAGGUCUGCAGCGUAGAUCCUUCGGGGUUAGAUGCAUUUGUGCUAAGUUAUAGCCUUUCAUAGACAACUUGUUGACUAUGAUCAGUCAUGUAGCUUACUCGCUUAUGUCAUUUUACCUACGCUUAGGAUGUUGAUAUGCAUGACUGAUAU